Bactrocera oleae (olive fruit fly) is the source of this 1449-nucleotide non-coding RNA. Lineage: Eukaryota; Metazoa; Arthropoda; Insecta; Diptera; Tephritidae. The record is from RefSeq and is a predicted model, not a curated record.
CAUUUUGUUUACCCAAAAAUUCUUUAAAGUCAUUAGCCAACUGUAUAAUUCAAGCAACAGCUAGUUUGGCUGGUAAAAAAGUUAUUUGAGAAAGAAAAUACAAAUAAAUACCAUUUAAAUUUACGUCAUUUAAUGAUUAAAAAUUCAAUUCGGAGAAGAUUUGGCAAACAAGUUCGUGAAAGUUGCCGCCGUCUGGGUGACGCCAAAAAUCCCAACUGGCGGCGAUACGCAGAAAAAUACAAAAACAGAAAAUAUCAAAAAUACAAAAUAAAUAACAAAAACAACAACAAUCCAAAACAAAACCAAAAAAUUUUCAACAAAAAAUUCAAAUUUAUUGAAAUCAAAAAUUAAAGACAGCAAAGGAGAAGAAGCGUCACACAGCCACACAAACAUACUAACACAUAUGCUUAUAAAAAGUGGGCAAAAACUUUUGUGGAUUGAUCGUUGGCUAAAAUAUGUGUACCAAACUAGUUAGUUUGCGGCUAUUGGCCUCUUUCGCCGCGUUCAGGGUCGCCGGCAGCGUUGGGGCAAACCCAGUCCAUCUAGCACGCCGCGCAGCAGCACAAAACAUUUCAAAACAACACUGCGCUAACAACGGUCCGAGAAGUAACGGCUUACCUGGCGUGGCGUAAAAAAUUUUAACUUUGAUAAAUAAAUUAAAAUUUGACAAAAAAUAAAUUCGAAAAAAAAAAUUGUAAAUAGGACAAAAAAUAUUUUGCUUGCAUGCAGUUAGUGUCGCAGAUUUUUUGAUACGAGUAGAAAAACUGAAAUUUAACAUGCAGAAGUCAAACCCACAAAUGGUGUCGACCGGUGCUAUUAUCACAUAUGUUAGGUUGUGUGAUUUGGCAUAUAAAGACCACUUUUCUGCUUUUGGUUAUAUAACUAUUCUUCCUGGAUCUACAGUCCAACUAGCAUAAAGUUGAAAGUAAAUUGAAAGCAGCUUUAUAUUUUAAAGUCUUGGAUGGUAUUAUUUUUUUUAAGCCUAACGAACACAGUUGACCAUAAUCUGUUCAUAUUAAAUUUGAGAAGUGGCGAAUGGAAAACAUGGUGAAAACAUUGCAAACUGCUGAUAAAUAUAUAAAUUGCAACUGAAUUGCAAUUGAAAAAACCAUAGGCCGAUUCUUAAUUUGACUAAUAUUAGAGUAACAAAAUUGUUGAGGCGGCAAACUUUUCUAAAAAUGCACUAGCGUUUGCUGCAGUUUUGCCUAACACUGUAUAUAUCUAGAUGUUCAUACGUUUGUGUUGAUUAAAACCUAUAGGUAUAUUUUCUAUUUUUUUUUGUAUAAUCAAAUAUAUUUUUAGAAUACAAAUCAAAUUAAUGAUGCUGUCACCAACAAUUUAAAAAUUAUUAUUAUAUUUUUACUCAUACCUAUAUUCUUUGAAUGCAUAUUUAUAUGUAUGUACUUCGUAUAUAAACGUUUUAAAAAUAAAUACAAUUUUUUCGUAUAC